CUAAUGGACACACGAACGUCCGAGUACGUGAACGCACCACGACGAGUUGUCGAGUGACGUCCGCAGCAGAAACCGUGGAGCUACGUUAGCUAACCGGAAGCUAGGAGCCGCACUAGCUAGCUAGCUGAGGGGGGAACGCACGAUGCUGCCGGAAGAGGAAGUCCCCGGCCCGGGUCUGAAGAACCGCAGCGAACCCGCAGAGAUGAGAGGAAAGAGACGAGCAGCCGGAGAACUCUGGCGGUUUUAAUUAAUUUAUUCUUCUUUUCUUCAAAACACAGGUUUUCACUUCAAGACGCGCAGCUUCCGUUUCCCUUCCGGUCGCCGGAUAAAAAAAUAAAUCACAAUAAAAGAUAAAAAGGCAAAACAGAAGCUAUUGGUUUCGAGGUACACAGCAGGGCCCAAUCGGGGGUCCCAGGAGGAUGGAGGCCAAUGAAAACCCUAGGUUUUCCGUGACGACAAUUUUGACAACCAAUAGCAUUGUGCUACGUUCGAUUUGUUCUCUGAUAGUUCCGGGUGAAAGCGAACCAGGAGAAUUGGAAAUAAAAUACACGAAAUACACGAACGUCUCCAGUAAAUGUAAUGUUUGUGUAACAUUCUCAGUAUUUAAAGGUACAAGUAUAUAUUAUUAUGAGUAGAAUGAAAGAGCGUAAAUGCCCCAUUAUAAUUAUUUAGGCAUUAAUGUGUUAGAAGUCUGGAUAUUAUAUAAACCUGCAGGUAAUGGUUUUAUUAGGGCCAGUAGGAGACAGUGGGAGGCUCUAUCGAAAUAGUAAGGAUUAUUAUUUAUUUUUUUCAGGAAAAUUAAUUGUCUUUUUGAGGUCAUUAUUAUUAUUGUGAGAUGUUUUGAAAGAAAUACAGAUAAACAUGAUUAUGAUUAUUGUUACUAUCAUUAGCAGUAGUAUCAUCUUUACUCUGUUAACCUGCUAGUUGUGUGUGUAUAUGUAUAUAUUCAGUGACUAAAGGUUUAAUUAUUCUUGUUCUUUUUAAACUGAAUAAACUUAUAAACUAUA
Molecule: long non-coding RNA, 1007 nt
Organism: Platichthys flesus (European flounder)
Lineage: Eukaryota; Metazoa; Chordata; Actinopteri; Pleuronectiformes; Pleuronectidae
Exons: 2
Source: RefSeq, a predicted model, not a curated record